AACGCAUAUUGCGCUCUCUGGCAUUCCGGAGAGCAUGCCUGUUUGAGGGUAAUUAAAAGAAAUCUUUGACCUUUUAUAAGUCAAAGGAUAUGAGCAUUUCGCGUUUUUCGCGGUGGCUUGAAAUAUAUGGUUUAAUCUCAUCAAGUUGAGAUGUGUAAUAAUAAAUUAUUUCGCAAAACACUUGACGAGUUACCAAGUUUUGUAGUGUUCAACCAAGUUGGAUAUAGACAAGACAAUAAAAUUUUGACAUUGCCUCAAAUCAGGUAGGACUACCCGCUGAACUUAA
Molecule: unclassified non-coding RNA, 286 nt
Filed under: uncultured fungus
Lineage: Eukaryota; Fungi
Description: partial contains 5.8S ribosomal RNA, internal transcribed spacer 2, and large subunit ribosomal RNA
Source: RNAcentral